RNAcentral lists this ribosomal RNA (377 nucleotides) under uncultured organism. RNAcentral describes it as "partial 16S ribosomal RNA". It matches the Rfam family "Bacterial small subunit ribosomal RNA", at positions 527 to 896 of the family's 1533-position model. The record is from RNAcentral.
GUAGGUGGCAAGCGUUGUCCGGAAUUAUUGGGCGUAAAGCGCGCGCAGGCGGUUCUUUAAGUCUGAUGUGAAAGCCCACGGCUCAACCGUGGAGGGUCAUUGGAAACUGGAGAACUUGAGUACAGAAGAGGAAAGCGGAAUUCCACGUGUAGCGGUGAAAUGCGUAGAGAUGUGGAGGAACACCAGUGGCGAAGGCGGCUUUCUGGUCUGUAACUGACGCUGAGGCGCGAAAGCGUGGGGGAGCAAACAGGGAUUAGAUACCCGUGGUAGUCCACGCCGUAAACGAUGAGUGCUAAGUGUUAGGGGGUUUCCCGCCCCCUUAGUGCUGCAGCUAACGCAUUAAGCACUCCGCCGUGGGGAGUACGGCCGCAAGGCUG